GUUCUGACGGUACUUGAGGAAUAAGCAUCGGCUAACUCUGUGCCAGCAGCCGCGGUAAUACAGAGGAUGCAAGCGUUAUCCGGAAUCACUGGGCAUAAAGCGUCUGUAGGUUGCUUAUCAAGUCUGCUGUUAAAGACCAGGGCCUAACCCUGGGAAAGCAGUGGAAACUAGUAGGCUUGAGUGUGGUAGAGGUAGAGGGAAUUCCUGGUGUAGCGGUGAAAUGCGUAGAUAUUAGGAAGAACACCAAUGGCGAAAGCACUCUACUGGGCCAUAACUGACACUGAGAGACGACAGCUAGGGGAGCAAAUGGGAUUAGAUACCCCAGUAGUCCUAGCCGUAAACGAUGGAUACUAGGUGUUGCACGUAUUAACCCGUGCAGUAUCGUAGCU
RNAcentral lists this ribosomal RNA (389 nucleotides) under uncultured cyanobacterium. RNAcentral's name for it is "bacterial SSU rRNA". It matches the Rfam family "Bacterial small subunit ribosomal RNA", at positions 466 to 853 of the family's 1533-position model. Lineage: Bacteria; Bacillati; Cyanobacteriota. The record is from RNAcentral.